UAGGCUCUAUGCAUCAGAAAUGAGGAUCCUAUGUGCCAGCUUUAAAUCCACACUUCCAAACCCUUCCAUUUGAGAGGAUAAACCUGAGAAUUUCCAUUGGAAGUUGAGUUUGAAUCUCAAUAUUUUGAGAUUCAAAACUCAAUUAUGGACCAAAUGAAGUGAUUUCAUGGAUCUGUACACGCCCAUGCACUCAUACAUCAC
RNAcentral lists this long non-coding RNA (201 nucleotides) under Lathyrus oleraceus (garden pea). RNAcentral's name for it is "Pisum sativum (pea) long non-coding RNA (PSAT_LNC012982)". Lineage: Eukaryota; Viridiplantae; Streptophyta; Magnoliopsida; Fabales; Fabaceae. The record is from RNAcentral.